UGGGGAAUAUUGGACAAUGGGCGAAAGCCUGAUCCAGCCAUGCCGCGUGUGUGAAGAAGGUCUUCGGAUUGUAAAGCACUUUAAGUUGGGAGGAAGGGCAGUAAGCGAAUACCUUGCUGUUUUGACGUUACCGACAGAAUAAGCACCGGCUAACUCUGUGCCAGCAGCCGCGGUAAUACAGAGGGUGCAAGCGUUAAUCGGAAUUACUGGGCGUAAGCGCGCGUAGGUGGUUCGUUAAGUUGAAUGUGAAAGCCCCGGGCUCAACCUGGGAACUGCAUCCAAAACUGGCGAGCUAGAGUAGGGCAGAGGAUGGUAGAAUUCCAGGUGUAGCGGUGAAAUGCGUAGAGAUCUGUUGGAAUACCGAUGGCGAAGGCAGCCAUCUGGCCUAACACUGACGCUGAGGUACGAAAGCAUGGGGAGCAAACAGG
Molecule: ribosomal RNA, 428 nt
Filed under: Pseudomonadota bacterium
Lineage: Bacteria; Pseudomonadati; Pseudomonadota
Description: Proteobacteria bacterium partial 16S ribosomal RNA
Rfam family: Bacterial small subunit ribosomal RNA
Source: RNAcentral